GAAGGCAGACUGUGAAGACUGCUGGAGCGCUUAGAAGUGAGAAUGCCGGCAUGAGUAACGAAAAGGCAGGUGAGAAUCCUGCCCGCCGCAAGACUAAGGUUUCCUGGGGAAGGUUCGUCCGCCCAGGGUCAGUCGGGACCUAAGAUGAGGCCGAAAGGCGUAGUCGAUGGCUAACAGGUGGAGAUUCCUGUACCGAUCUAUUAUGUUUGAGCGAAGGAAGGACGCAGGAGGCUAAGGUGAGCACGCAGCUGGAAAAGCGUGUCCAAGCACUGAGUCUGGGAGCGAGUCAAAUGCUUGUUCCUAAGGACAAGGUGUGAUGGGGAGCGAAAUUAAGUAGCGAAGCACCUGAUGUCACACUGCCGAGAAAAGUUUCUAGUGAGUAAUAGAUCGCCCGUACCGCAAACCGACACAGGUAGUCGAGGAGAGUAUCCUCAGGCGCGCGAGAGAACUCUCGUUAAGGAACUCGGCAAAAUAACCCCGUAACUUCGGAAGAAGGGGUGCUGACCGGAAGGUCAGCCGCAGUGAAUAGGCCCAAACAACUGUUUAUCAAAAACACAGGUCUCUGCCAAAUCGAAAGAUGACGUAUAGGGGCUGACACCUGCCCGGUGCUGGAAGGUUAAGAGGAUGAGUCAGCGUAAGCGAAGCCCAGAAUUGAAGCCCCAGUAAACGGCGGCCGUAACUAUAACGGUCCUAAGGUAGCGAAAUUCCUUGUCGGGUAAGUUCCGACCCGCACGAAAGGUGUAAUGAUUUGGGCACUGUCUCAACGAGAGACUCGGUGAAAUUAUAUUACCCGUGAAGAUGCGGGUUACCCGCGACAGGACGGAAAGACCCCAUGGAGCUUUACUGUAGCUUGAUAUUGAGUGUCUGUACCGCAUGUACAGGAUAGGUAGGAGCCGUAGAAACCGGGACGCUAGUCUCGGUGGAGGCAUUGGUGGGAUACUACCCUUGCAGUGCGGCCACUCUAACCCGCGCCACUAAGCGUGGCGGGAGACAGUGUCAGGCAGGCAGUUUGACUGGGGCGGUCGCCUCCUAAAAAGUAACGGAGGCGCCCAAAGGUUCCCUCAGAAUGGUUGGAAAUCAUUCACAGAGUGUAAAGGCAUAAGGGAGCUUGACUGCGAGACAGACAGGUCGAGCAGGGACGAAAGUCGGGCUUAGUGAUCCGGUGGUACUGAAUGGAAAGGCCAUCGCUCAACGGACAAAAGCUACCCUGGGGAUAACAGGCUUAUCUCCCCCAAGAGUCCACAUCGACGGGGAGGUUUGGCACCUCGAUGUCGGCUCAUCGCAUCCUGGGGCUGAAGUUGGUCCCAAGGGUUGGGCUGUUCGCCCAUUAAAGCGGUACGCGAGCUGGGUUCAGAACGUCGUGAGACAGUUCGGUCCCUAUCCGUCGCGGGCGUAGGAAAUUUGAGAAGAGCUGCCCUUAGUACGAGAGGACCGGGGUGGACAUACCGCUGGUGUACCAGUUGUGCCGCCAGGCGCAGAGCUGGGUAGCUAUGUAUGGCAGGGAUAAGCGCUGAAAGCAUCUAAGUGUGAAGCCCCCUUCGAGAUGAGAUUUCCCAUUCCUUUAAGGAAGUAAGACCCCUGAGAGAUGAUCAGGUAGAUAGGCUGGGAGUAGCAGCCCCGUGAGGGGUGGAGCGGACCAGUACUAAUCGGUCGAGGACUUAACCAA
RNAcentral lists this non-coding RNA (1666 nucleotides) under Schleiferilactobacillus shenzhenensis LY-73. RNAcentral describes it as "bacterial LSU rRNA". It matches the Rfam family "Bacterial large subunit ribosomal RNA", at positions 1252 to 2925 of the family's 2925-position model. Lineage: Bacteria; Bacillati; Bacillota; Bacilli; Lactobacillales; Lactobacillaceae. The record is from RNAcentral.